CCGGAGAGGGAGCCUGAGAAACGGCUACCACAUCCAAGGAAGGCAGCAGGCGCGCAAAUUACCCAAUCCCGACGCGGGGAGGUAGUGACAAUAAAUACUGAUAUGGGGCUCUUUCGGGUCUCGUAAUUGGAAUGAGUACAAUCUAAAUCCCUUAACGAGGAACAAUUGGAGGGCAAGUCUGGUGGAGGAGUCCCUGCGGCGGGCGGGUGAUCGUGCCACCGCCUCCGCUGUUGGCGCCAGACAGUCGUGGGGCCCCCGGGCUCUCACGCAGUGGGUCGUCCGAACCCGCGAGGUGUCCGGUUACGGGGAAGCCCAGUCGCCGUGAGGGCGCUGGAAAUCCCGAGUGUCAGGCUCUGACCCCCCGGGGUCUCGGGCUGGCUCGUAACGCAUGGAAGGACAUCGCCAGGCGCGUGCCGUCCGCGCGCCUGUUGAGGUACAUGCUGAUCCUACCCGUGAGGGGUUGUCCGCAGUGGGGUUCCCGUUCACACGUCGGCGGUAUGGAGCGCCGACGGGGGACCCAACGUGGGCGUGAGGAAGACGGGUGCGUCCCGACGUGGGCGUGCGCCCCGUCGACCUGUGGCCAGCAGCCGCGGUAAUUCCAGCUCCAAUAGCGUAUAUUAAAGUUGUUGCGGUUAAAAAGCUCGUAGUUGAACCUUGGGCCUGGCUGAUCUGUCCUCCUCAC
Molecule: ribosomal RNA, 682 nt
Filed under: Chaetothyriales sp. A993
Lineage: Eukaryota; Fungi; Ascomycota; Eurotiomycetes; Chaetothyriales
Description: partial small subunit ribosomal RNA
Rfam family: Eukaryotic small subunit ribosomal RNA
Source: RNAcentral